Macadamia integrifolia is the source of this 2125-nucleotide long non-coding RNA. RefSeq lists it as uncharacterized. The record is from RefSeq and is a predicted model, not a curated record. Lineage: Eukaryota; Viridiplantae; Streptophyta; Magnoliopsida; Proteales; Proteaceae. The transcript has 2 exons.
CCAGUUAGACUUUCAAUUUUCAUACUCCUAAAACAACUCAGCCUUAUCUUAAUUAAAUGGGGUCGCCUACAUGGACCCUUUUUCUCCAAUCAGUCAUAUUUAUUAAUAGUCUUAAGUUCUUCCUCUCUUAAAGUCAUUGUCUUAUUGCAUAAUGGGUAGCUUCUAUGUAAAUUACCCCUCCAUUGUAAGCCUGAGGCUGAUAUCCCAGACCAACUCAUUCUGCACAGGGCUUUCCCCAAACAUAAUUUUGUCAAUUAGUUUUCUUCUUUCUGUAUUCGCUGAAACUAGCCGAGCCAGAACAAAAAUUAGAUAAAUGAGUAAUGAGUUUUUGAAAAAAAAAAGGAAAACUUUUUAAGUAUGAACUGAUCCCAAUAUGUAUGAUGGAAUUAAAUUGAUUCCUACAUACCUGAGUAAUGGCCCCUUUUUAGUUUUCCAUACCUGAUGCUCGUCAACUGUGCUGGAUGGUUUCCAGCACCUAUGGUUUUUUGGCACAUGGUGGUGCCUAGUGGUGCCCAAACUUUGUGGUCAAACAUUUCAUUGGCCACGGUUUUUUGUUUUUGCUUUUUGCUCAUUUUUUUUUUCAUAAUUUUAAUCAAGGUACCUCUGUGUGUCGGAAUAAUGUUUUUAAAAUUUGAAAAAUUCUAUGGUGUUCGAAGAAUGAGGACAAAUGAUAAAAGAGGGGUGGGGGCAUCUAUGGUGGCCCAGGUGGUUGAGAUACCCCACCAAAUUUGAUACAUGACCCAUCCAUUGACUACCCAUCUAUGCAAUAGUUGGAAUGCAAAUGACUAGCAAAAAUUUCCAUGUGGCAGAAAUUAGUGUUGGUUCUGGAUUGCAUCUGGCACUAUUGAUGCCAGGAACUUUUUCUUCAUAAAAGAUAAACCCAAAAAUGAUUAUAUGGCAUUUCAUGAGUGAUACGGUGUAAGUUAUGAAUAUUUCUGUAUAUAUGACAAAUACACUUCGUUAUGUGUUCAUCAGAAAUUGUGGUUUGUACGCAAGUAAUUCAUGAAUAAUAUUUUUCUUUGUUUCUAGUUCAUGAAGUAUAUAAUUUGGAUUGUAAAUUUGUGAUUUAUGCCUCUACUGUUUCAACAUGAGGUGGGUCGCAAUCCCAGAUUGCCCAUGCUUGUGUUCUCUGAGUUUAUAACUGCAGGUAAAGUGAGUAGAUUCAUAUUGUAAGCAAAGUUCCAUCUGGGGGCAAAAUACCACGAAUUGUGUUUUCUUUGAAAGCAAACCGGUUUCCUUUCUUCUUCCUGUUGACCUUCACAUUCUUUCGGCAUCAGUAACCCGAUGUAUGGUUGAUAUUCAAGCAAGUUCAGAAACUUCUGAGCUGAAAUUUGUGUUUGAAACUCCCAUGGUGUUGGUGGAUUCUGAACAUGGGGUCAAUGCGUCUGCGGCAAACUUGAUCUCAUUUGAACCUUAUGCCAAGACACUCAGGUAAAUGGAGUGCCUUGAUCAAGCUGCUACACCUAUCAGAAUAUAACAAGAUGAAGAGGUUCAAGGCAUAAAUUGAGAGGUGGGGAAAUUAGAUUAGUGGUUUUAGAUUUCCGAAGAAGAUGAGAAGGUGGUGGAGAUAUUGUGUAGACUGGAGAGUGGGCUGCAAUUAGGAGUAGAAUGAAUAGAUAGCAGGGACUGUGGAUGUCAGCGGCUGAAACGAACAGAAGUGGGAGUCAUGGUGUAUGCAGUCUUCUUACGUGGGUCAGAUCACUUGCUCGUGUGAUACUAAGAUAAAACAUACUAAUUAACUUGUCGAGCCUGCAGUUGGAGCAGCACUGCUGGCCUUGAAUUUCCUCAUGAAAGAAUCAAAAGGUAGCCUCAAGAGUUAACUUUGGCCAAUUCCAACUGGUUCAGUCACUUGUACAGUCACGAGGAAAAGAGAUUGGGGAAAAAAUGUGAUUUAAGGAGAAUAUUGGAAGAGGAAAUUUAUUAACUGCUCAGAUUUAAUUAUCCCAAAGGGCUUGCACAGAAAGACUGCUGGUCUCUCUAUGGCGUCAUUGGGGUGCUCGUUUUCUUUCAUCUUUCUGGUUUUUAUUAACUUGUCAAUUAAUUAAGUGAUUCUUUUGGAGGUGUAAACUGAUAUUGGAAAGCAAUUAUAAAGUUCUAGUUGCAUAUUGAUUGCAGUUGUCUUUAA